RNAcentral lists this ribosomal RNA (253 nucleotides) under uncultured bacterium. RNAcentral's name for it is "partial 16S ribosomal RNA". It matches the Rfam family "Bacterial small subunit ribosomal RNA", at positions 524 to 776 of the family's 1533-position model. The record is from RNAcentral.
UACAGAGGUCUCAAGCGUUGUUCGGAUUCAUUGGGCGUAAAGGGUGCGUAGGUGGCGAGGUAAGUCGGAUGUGAAAUCCCGGGGCUCAACCCCGGAACUGCAUUCGAUACUGCCCUGCUAGAGUACUGGAGAGGAGAUUGGAAUUUACGGUGUAGCAGUGAAAUGCGUAGAUAUCGUAAGGAAGACCAGUGGCGAAGGCGGAUCUCUGGACAGUUACUGACACUGAGGCACGAAGGCCAGGGGAGCAAACGGG